Molecule: long non-coding RNA, 2258 nt
Organism: Oncorhynchus nerka (sockeye salmon)
Lineage: Eukaryota; Metazoa; Chordata; Actinopteri; Salmoniformes; Salmonidae
Exons: 2
Source: RefSeq, a predicted model, not a curated record
GCCCAGUUAAUAGCCUCAUCUCCUUCCUCUCAGUAGCCCAGUUAAUCUCCUCGUCUCCUUCCUCUCAGUAGCCCAGUUAAUAGCCUCAUCUCCUUCCUCUCAGUAGCCCAGUUAAUAGCCUCGUCUCCUCCCUCUCAGUAGCCCAGUUAAUAGCCUCGUCUCCUUCCUCUCAGUAGCCCAGUUAAUAGCCUCGUCUCUCAGUAGCCCAGUCAGUCUUGGAGAGAAUGAUAAAACAGGACUGGUAAAAGCCACAUGGAUGAUCCAUCUCUACCAGAAAUGAGCUUUCACCUGUAAUUUCCUUCCCAUCAGUGUAGGAGGGGCAAGGAGAGAAGACGAGGAAACCACUUUAUACUAUUGAGAUGCACCCCCAAGUCCCUAUUGUCCUGGGUGUGGGCUGGCCAGACAGAACAGACCGGUCAGCUGGUGGACCAUCUGUAGUCUGGGAGGGAGGGAGGGAGGGACCUCCAUGUUAAAUAGCCUGGAAACAUCAGCUGCUGUCCUCUUCAUUAAUGAAGUUAGGUCUGCUUCACCACAGACUGUACCGUCCUAAUGGCACCCUAUUCACUAUCUAGUGCACUCCUACUUUAUAUAAGCCUUGGAUGGAUGGCUGGUGAUGUUCAGGGGAAGACUAAGCCCUUACUACUUCAUAUAAGCCUUGGAUGGAUGGCUGUGUAUUUAUGAGGUUGGUACCAUGUUAUAUUCAUUUAAUCCCCUAUUCUGAUGCGUAAUUAGUAUCAGACAAAACUGUUGCUUUAUAGAAACAAACAAGUCAACCCUGAGCACAGCAGUGCGUCAGAUAAAACUUAUUCACAUUGAGAUAUAUAUAUAUAUACUGUACUGUACUGUGCACCUGUUGGUGGUUGAAUCUUAUCCAGCUAACAUCCUGUCUACCAUAACCUGCAGAACAGAAUAUCCAGCAACAAUAACCCAGCAGUCCAACCAUCUAACGGUUAUAGGGUGAAGUUGCCUUAGAUGCUGAUCCUGGGUCAGUUUUUCCCUUUACCCCACUAAUGGUUAAGGUUAGGAUUGGGAAGGGGAAGCUGAUCCUAGAUCUGUACCUAGGGGAAACCUCACCCUAGAGCUAUCCAACAGUGGGUCACGCUUAUCCCUUUUUCUAGACUAGAUCCUAGCCUGGUUAAACCAGACUGAAUGCUGUGUUCACCAUGAGGGGAGUGCUCAGUCUAGUUUUAAUCAGGCUAAAAAUGCUCGUCUUUGACUAAUAUGCAAAUCGCUAUUGGUGACCAUUUUGUCACGUUGGCUCCUGUCCUGUCGAUGAAACGUUUGUAAUAGAGAACCUCAUCUCAGGAUGACAAGCCUCUUCCUGGUUUCAGUCGUUGAUAUUCAUUUGUGAUGUAUUUUUCAUCCCCCAUUCUGCCUGUCUAUCUUCAUCUGGGGUUAAUAGUACCCCUCUCCUAUCACAACCUUAAAUGAAAAGCCUUGAGGCCAGUUUCCCAGACACAGAUUAGUGCUGCAAUAAUCUAUAGCUUUUUGGGUGACUUGACCAAAUUCACAUAGAAAUGUUAUAGAUCUGUUAUUUUCAUUGAAAGCAAGUCUAAGAAGGUGGUAGAUCUGUUAUUUUUCUAUGCUUCCUGUUUUAUAGUUUUGUUUUUUGGGGUCUUUUACUUUGGGUUUUGUACACCGGCUUCAAAUCAGCUGAAAAUACAAUGUUUUUGGUUCUGUAAAAUCUAUUUCACAGCGGUUUAGAUGCUACAAUGAUUCUCUACACAAUACAUGCUUGUUUUCUCACAAGUUGAAAUUCGAAUUUAAAGCAACCAGGAAAUGGAGGUGCGAUAUCUGCACAGUGCGUCUUUUACGCCUGGUCUUGGACUCAAUGGAGAUUCCUCCAUUCAGCAUGAUUUAGAUUCCAGCACUAGGCUUAAUCUGUGUCUGGGAAACUGGUCCUAAAACUAUUCCACCUAUUCUACAACUAUCAUUUGGUUACUCCCAUGGUCUAUGAUGUCACCCACCUCUACCAUGUCACUCUGAGCUCUAUGUCAGCCUGUUGCUCUGUCAGCCUGUUGCUCUGUCCCCAUAUAUACAGGUUUGGAACUAAGCAUUGGAACUCUGCCUAACAACACAUUUGUACAUACCAACGUUUGGCAUUAUUACAGUUCUAUUUAUUUCAGAUGUCUUUAUGGCAUGUUUAAAAUGAAGAACCUGAGUUUUACUAUUGUACAUCAGUCCAAGAUCACAUGUCAUGAUGUACAAUUAGUUGUCCAGUCUGUUCGAUAAAAUGAAAUAAAGAUAUUGAAAAAUAA